AUAUCAAUCCAGAUUGCAUAAGGAAGUAUCAAAUACAUAAUCUACUUGCUAUUACAAGCAUUCAUUUUACAACCACUCUUUACAUCACAGUUUCAGUUUACAUUUUACUUCCAAAUUACAAUCUAAUUAUUACAUAACUUUACAUGUUUAGUACAUUUUGCUUUUCCUUGUCUUCUAGUCCCCUAAGCUAGACUGCCUCAGGGUACUGCUACCUCGGUCUCUG
This 223-nucleotide long non-coding RNA is filed under the name Ananas comosus (pineapple). Its description in RNAcentral is "long non-coding RNA (ACOM_LNC009870)". The record is from RNAcentral. Lineage: Eukaryota; Viridiplantae; Streptophyta; Magnoliopsida; Poales; Bromeliaceae.